GAAGGCAUCCGUUGUCCGUCCUAGUUGAGGUCCGCUCAGGCGAAGGAUUUGGCGAAGCUGUCGAUU
This 66-nucleotide small RNA is filed under the name Sinorhizobium meliloti 2011. RNAcentral describes it as "putative ncRNA". Lineage: Bacteria; Pseudomonadati; Pseudomonadota; Alphaproteobacteria; Hyphomicrobiales; Rhizobiaceae. The record is from RNAcentral.